Molecule: ribosomal RNA, 243 nt
Filed under: uncultured bacterium
Lineage: Bacteria
Description: partial 16S ribosomal RNA
Rfam family: Bacterial small subunit ribosomal RNA
Source: RNAcentral
UAAAGCGGCGAACGGGUGAGUAAUACACAGGAAUCUACCUUUUAGUGAAGAAUACCUCCGAGAAAUUGGAGUUAAUGCUGCAUACGUCCCUUCGGGGAGAAAGAUGGCCUCUUUGCUGUCGCUAAAAGAUGAGCCUGUGCGCUAUUAGCUAGUUGGUGGGGUAAAAGCCUACCAAGGCGAUGAUAGCUAGCCGGCCUGAGAGGGUGAUCGGCCACAUUGGGACUGAGAUACGGCCCAGACUCC